AACGAACGCUGGCGGCAUGCCUAACACAUGCAAGUCGAACGAGACCUUCGGGUCUAGUGGCGCACGGGUGCGUAACGCGUGGGAACCUGCCCUUAGGUUCGGAAUAACUCCCCGAAAGGGGUGCUAAUACCGGAUAAUGUCUUCGGACCAAAGAUUUAUCGACUUUGGAUGGGCCCGCGUUGGUUUAGCUAGUUGGUAGGGUAAAAGCCUACCAAGGCGACGAUCCAUAGCUGGUCUGAGAGGAUGAUCAGCCACACUGGGACUGAGACACGGCCCAGACUCCUACGGGAGGCAGCAGUGGGGAAUAUUGGACAAUGGGCGAAAGCAUGAUCCAGCAAUGCCGCGUGAGUGAUGAAGGCCUUAGGGUUGUAAAGCUCUUUUACCCGGGAUGAUAAUGACAGUACCGGGAGAAUAAGCUCCGGCUAACUCCGUG
This 433-nucleotide ribosomal RNA is filed under the name uncultured bacterium. Its description in RNAcentral is "partial 16S ribosomal RNA". It matches the Rfam family "Bacterial small subunit ribosomal RNA", at positions 29 to 507 of the family's 1533-position model. The record is from RNAcentral.